This 774-nucleotide long non-coding RNA is filed under the name Oryza brachyantha (malo sina). Its description in RNAcentral is "long non-coding RNA (OBRA_LNC003472)". The record is from RNAcentral. Lineage: Eukaryota; Viridiplantae; Streptophyta; Magnoliopsida; Poales; Poaceae.
AUAGAUCUUUUUGAUAUGUCUCUUCAAAUGCAACUGACCAAAUCAUUGAAUUCAAUCCACAGCAAGAGCGGGUGAGGUAUAAGAAGCAUUCAACAAGUCCGUGAGAGAGGGAUGGACUUUCUCUACAACUAUUGCGAAACAAGACAUAUGCAAAUCCGAAACAGGGAAGUACGAAACUAAAGGGAAAGUCUAUCGAUGAACUCCCUAGUUCCUAUGUUUGCUUUGAGGCAGUGCUAAUUGCUAAUGUGUGAACUAUCACUAUACUUUAAUAGAUUUGAAUUGCGAUAAAUCGUAUUUCGCCCCGGAAGGCGUAGUCAAACCCCGAAACUUCAACUUCAAUCGAACCAUUCGUAUACGUUAUGAGCUCGAGCUUGUGGAGAUGUUAGUUGCCAACUCGAAUUCAUGUAAUCCGGCUGGGAGCUGAAUUGCCUACUUCCCCACUAUUGUCUGUCCCGAAACUUGUUUCCCCUCUUGUUUACUAGCGAAUCCGGUAAAUACUUUAUAAAGGAAAGGUAUGUCAUCACAAAACACAGGUUCAACUCGGAGACCCGUCCCGUAACCCUACUCCAGUCUCGCACACCCCAUCCAGGCAAAGCAGUCUUCCCAAACUAACUAAUUGUUGAAUUAAUACUUGCUAUACUAAUAGCUCUUCAAUCUGUUUAUUGCUGCUUCAUUGUCCUUUCCCUUUGCUCUAGCGUUAGUCGCAGGAAUCCCUCUUGCGUUAGUCGUAGUCAUCUAUUCGUAGAAAUCGUAAGAAAGAUCGUGGGAACCUAC